Molecule: ribosomal RNA, 253 nt
Filed under: uncultured bacterium
Lineage: Bacteria
Description: partial 16S ribosomal RNA
Rfam family: Bacterial small subunit ribosomal RNA
Source: RNAcentral
UACAGAGGUCCCAAGCGUUGUUCGGAUUCACUGGGCGUAAAGAGCGUGUAGGCGGCCAUGUAGGUCCGUUGUGAAAACUCGAGGCUCAACCUCGAGACGCCGAUGGAAACCAUGUGGCUAGAGUCCGGAAGAGGAGAGUGGAAUUCCUGGUGUAGCGGUGAAAUGCGCAGAUAUCAGGAAGAACACCCGUGGCUAAGGCGGCUCUCUAGUACGGUACUGACGCUGAGACGCGAAAGCGUGGGGAGCGAACAGG